RNAcentral lists this unclassified non-coding RNA (348 nucleotides) under soil metagenome. RNAcentral's name for it is "partial contains 5.8S ribosomal RNA, internal transcribed spacer 2, and large subunit ribosomal RNA". The stretch from base 1 to 120 matches the Rfam family "5.8S ribosomal RNA", at positions 35 to 154 of the family's 154-position model. The record is from RNAcentral.
GAUAAAGAACGCAGCGAAAUGCGAUAAGUAAUGUGAAUUGCAGAAUUCAGUGAAUCAUCGAAUCUUUGAACGCACAUUGCGCCCGCCAGUAUUCUGGCGGGCAUGCCUGUCUGAGCGUCAUUUCAACCCUCAUGCCCCUAGGGCGUGGUGUUGGGGAUCGGCCAAAGCCCGCGAGGGACGGCCGGCCCCUAAAUCUAGUGGCGGACCCGUCGUGGCCUCCUCUGCGAAGUAGUGAUAUUCCGCAUCGGAGAGCGACGAGCCCCUGCCGUUAAACCCCCAACUUUCCAAGGUUGACCUCAGAUCAGGUAGGAAUACCCGCUGAACUUAAGCAUAUCAAUAAGCGGAGGA